AGCAGCCGCGGUAAUUCCAGCUCCAAUAGCGUAUAUUAAAGUUGUUGCAGUUAAAAGCUCGUAGUUGAAUUUCGGGACCAAUUUGUUGGUCGUGCCUCGGUACGUACUGGUAUUAUUGGUUUCUCCCUUCUGAAGAACCUCGAUGCCAUUAAUUUGGCGUCGUGGGGAAUCAGGACUGUUACUUUGAAAAAAUUAGAGUGUUUAAAGCAAGCAUACGCUUGAAUACAUUAGCAUGGAAUAAUGAAAUAGGACGUUUGAUUCUAUUUUGUUGGUUUCUAGGAUCGACGUAAUGAUUAAUAGGGAUAGUUGGGGGCAUUAGUAUUCAAUUGUCAGAGGUGAAAUUCUUGGAUUUAUUGAAGACUAACUACUGCGAAAGCAUUUGCCAAGGAUGUUUUCAUUAAUCAAGAACGAAAGUUAGGGGAUCGAAGACGAUCAGAUACCGUCGUAGUCUUAACCAUAAACUAUGCCGACUAGGGAUCGGAUGAUGUUAAUUUUUUAAUGACUCAUUCGGCGCCUUACG
RNAcentral lists this unclassified non-coding RNA (520 nucleotides) under uncultured Glomus. RNAcentral's name for it is "SSU rRNA". It matches the Rfam family "Eukaryotic small subunit ribosomal RNA", at positions 569 to 1092 of the family's 1831-position model. The record is from RNAcentral. Lineage: Eukaryota; Fungi; Glomeromycota; Glomeromycetes; Glomerales; Glomeraceae.